Eriocheir sinensis (Chinese mitten crab) is the source of this 1528-nucleotide long non-coding RNA. RefSeq lists it as uncharacterized. The transcript has 3 exons. NCBI's taxonomy places the organism in Eukaryota, Metazoa, Arthropoda, Malacostraca, Decapoda, Varunidae. The record is from RefSeq and is a predicted model, not a curated record.
UGCUAUUUCGGUGAGGUUUUUGCCAUAAUUUAAGUCGUGCUUGUCGGGGUUAGUUUUGUCAACAGUAACUUUACAUACCUACCAUUUUUUUCCCUUUUCUUCAGACGUGAAUAGGUGCCCGUCGCAAUGGACCUGAACUCAACACUUGCAGGGUUACACUUUACACUGGAUACCAUGAAUUUCUACUUCAAUGGAAGUGACUUUUACAAGGGCGGUGGUCUGGAACGUGGGAAUUUUAGAAUCCAAAGUUUUGACACCUCCAACGAAGAACUGGAUGUCGAGUGUGUGUACUUCUCUGAUGAACAAGUUGAAUAUACCGACGAAGCCGACAUUACCGAAGAGAUCUACCUUGCAAGAGUAAAGGCGGCAAGCUUCGCCAUUAAAUCUGGCUUUACAUUCGCCCUCCUCCUGCUACUCUUCCUUGGAUUCGUUGCAAUAGGAUUAAGGAUUUCUGGUUACUUGUGUGCCCACCUUGUAUUGGGCUGUAAGCGGUGCGUGACUCGCAACUGUGGUUAUUUGCAAACUGCCCGAAAAAUUCCUACUGCACCACCACUGCCACCGCCUCGUUCCCUUCCUGCCGCCUCCAUUGGCACAACAAUCCGGUACAGGACUGUGGAAAAUCCAUUAAUAAGGCGAAGGGCGAAAACGGUGAAGGACUAGCCCGAGGCAGGAAGAGGUGAAUUUCCUUCAAAGUCUUCGUUCUCCACCUGGACGAAUCGCCGAACUAAGACAAGCUCCGCAAAUUGGAAUGAAUGAAUCUUCUCACUCGCCUUAGCUCGGGAUAAACUGUCCUCUUGGCCACUUUACUCGCCGUAGCAAACCACUGGUCGUCAGAAUGAUCUCGGUCGAGCACGUCUCCGAAAGGUGCACGACCGGAGACGUGCUCGACAGUGUCCUGCCGCGUCCCGCCUCGCUCCUCGGCCGGUCCAGGAAUGACGUGGGACUCGCGGGUGACAGACAAUGCAAUAAAAAAUGCUAAAUCACCAAAAACUAAAUCACCAAAAACUGCUUUGCGCCUGCUUUGCGCCUUCCUUGGAGUAAGCAGCACUUUGUAGUUAAGUCCUAGUUUGUCAAAAUCCUUAUUAAAGGCUGUUGGCUUUUUCUCGCAUGCUUCCUAGCAAUGUAUUAUAAAUGGUAGACUUCUGUGUAUAUUUUUUAAGUAGACUUCUGUGCAUGUCAAAAUCCUUAUUAAAGGCUGUUGGCUUUUUCUCGCAUGCUUUCUAGCAAUGUAUUAUAAAUGGUAGACUUCUGUGUAUAUUUUUUAAGUAGACUUCUGUGCAUAUUUUUUAAGUAGACUUCUGUGCAUAUUUUUUAACUAAUUUUAAUGUAGGGUAAUGUGAUUAUUUUUGUCUAUACGAAAGUUCUGUGGUUACUAUUUUAGGCAAUCAUGCUUCACAAAUUUUGUAAUCGGGCUGAACGUGAGUCCCGCGAGCGGCGUGUGAGCCAGCCACGCACUCGGGGCCCUCGUUCACGUCCUCGGCGCGUAUCAGUGUUCCUAAUAGCAUCUUAGUAAAGUGACCAACAGAAA